AGCGCGGGUGCGAGUCGGAGGGUGCAAGCCCGUGGGCGAAGUGAAAGCGAGUUUAAAAACGAGCAGUUUGGGGCGGCAUAAGAUCGUUGAUCUUAAGACCGACCCAGAGCAGUUGCGCUGGGACCCGAAAGAUGGUGAACUAUGCCGGAGUAGGGCAAAGCCAGAGGAAACUCUGGUGGAGGCUCGUAGCGGUGCUGACGUGCAAAUCGCUCGUCGAACUUGGGUAUAGGGGCGAAAGACUAAUCGAACCAUCUAGUAGCUGGUUCCCUCCGAAGUUUCUCUCAGGAUAGCGGGCCGACAAGUUGUUUUGUGCGGUAAAGCGAAUGAUUAGCGCAUUCGGGGGCGUUUAGCCUUCGGGCGAUUCUCAAACUUUCAAUGCGCAAGGGUGCCGCUGCUUAAUUGAGCGGUACCGGUAAAAACGUCGGCCCUGUGGGCCACUUUUGGUAAGCAGAACUGGCGAUACGGGAUGAACCGUAAGCAAGGUUAAGGCGCCAAACUGCCCGCUUAUAGACCCCACAAAAGGUGUUGAUUCAUCGAGACAGCAGGACGGUGGCCAUGGAAGUCGGAAUCCGCCAAGGAGUGUGUAACAACUCACCUGCCGAAUGAAUUAGCCCUGAAAAUGGAUGGCGCUGAAGCGGGCGGCCGACACCUUGCCGUCUGAACAAGAAUUUCAGAUGAGUAGGAGGGCGUGGCGGCCGUGUCGAAGCACGCGUGCAGACGCUUGUGGAACGGCCGCUAGUGCAGAUCUUGGUGGUAGUAGCAAGUAUUCAAGCGAGAUCCUUGAAGGGCGAAGUGGGGAAGGGUUUCACGCGAACAUUGAUUGGGCGUGAGUGAGUCGUUCCUAAGCCGAGUGGCAAUUGCUAAUUAACGGCGAAAGGGAAGCGGGUUGACAUUCCCGCACACGGAUGUGGAGGCGGCGACGCAUUAUUGGGGCGAACACGCUGGCGAUGGCGCUGGGCAGAGUUGUCUUUUCUGUUUGACCGCUUGCGCACGCAGUGUGGAAUCCUCUUAUAGGGAGAAACACGCGUGUACGGGCAGAGCGCUGGGGCUUUUCCAGCGUCCAGCUCGCCAUCGACGGCCCUUGAAACUUUGCCUCCUG
Molecule: ribosomal RNA, 1099 nt
Filed under: Ahnfeltiopsis pygmaea
Lineage: Eukaryota; Rhodophyta; Florideophyceae; Gigartinales; Phyllophoraceae
Description: eukaryotic LSU rRNA
Rfam family: Eukaryotic large subunit ribosomal RNA
Source: RNAcentral